This 129-nucleotide non-coding RNA is filed under the name Enterococcus diestrammenae. Its description in RNAcentral is "glmS glucosamine-6-phosphate activated ribozyme". It matches the Rfam family "glmS glucosamine-6-phosphate activated ribozyme aptamer", at positions 9 to 149 of the family's 167-position model. From Rfam's summary of the family: This entry contains a glucosamine-6-phosphate activated ribozyme that is found in the mRNA for GlmS. The record is from RNAcentral. Lineage: Bacteria; Bacillati; Bacillota; Bacilli; Lactobacillales; Enterococcaceae.
GGAAUAGCGCCAGGCCUAUCUACCAGAUAGGUGACGAGGAAAGAGUUUAUCGAAAGAUUCGGCGGGUGACUCUAGGGACUGCCCCCUUAAGGUUAAGCCAAAACAGUUUUGCAAAAAGCUGAGACAAAA